AGUUUGAUCAUGGCUCAGGAUGAACGCUAGCGGCAGGCUUAAUACAUGCAAGUCAAGGGGGUAGCAAUACUACCGGCGCACGGGUGAGUAACACGUACAUAACAUACCAUAUACUGGGGUAUAGCUUUGGGAAACUGAAGGUAAUCCCCCAUAACAUUGCGAGAGGGCAUCUGAUUGCAAUUAAAGUUUCGACGGUAUAUGAUUGAUGUGCGUUUGAUUAGCUUGUUGGUAGGGUAACGGCCUACCAAGGCGACGAUCAAUAGCUGGCGUGAGAGCGCGACCAGCCACACUGGAACUGAGACACGGUCCAGACUCCUACGGGAGGCAGCAGUAGGGAAUAUUGGACAAUGGGCGAAAGCCUGAUCCAGCCAUGCCGCGUGAUAGAUGAAGGCCCUCUGGGUUGUAAAUAUCUUUUAUCUGGGAAGAAACAAUCUUAUUCUUAAGAUCUUGACGGUACCAGAGGAAUAAGCACCGGCUAACUCCGUG
This 486-nucleotide ribosomal RNA is filed under the name uncultured bacterium. RNAcentral's name for it is "bacterial SSU rRNA". It matches the Rfam family "Bacterial small subunit ribosomal RNA", at positions 10 to 507 of the family's 1533-position model. The record is from RNAcentral.